Etheostoma spectabile (orangethroat darter) is the source of this 101-nucleotide long non-coding RNA. RefSeq lists it as uncharacterized. The transcript is spliced from 3 exons. The record is from RefSeq and is a predicted model, not a curated record. NCBI's taxonomy places the organism in Eukaryota, Metazoa, Chordata, Actinopteri, Perciformes, Percidae.
CGACAUGUGAUUAUUGUUUAACGCAUUGUAAUGAACAGGUUUGUAUGAUAUCGUACGAAAACCUGUGCACAACAAUUCUUAUGAUAUCCUACGAAAUUAUA